AAACGACUCUCGGCAACGGAUAUCCCGGCUCUCGCAUCGAUGAAGAACGUAGCGAAAUGCGAUACUUGGUGUGAAUUGCAGAAUCCCGUGAACCAUUGAGUCUUUGAACGCAAGUUGCGCCCGAAGCCAUUAGGCUGAGAGCACGUCUGCCUGGGUGUCACGC
RNAcentral lists this ribosomal RNA (163 nucleotides) under Chaerophyllum macrospermum. RNAcentral describes it as "5.8S ribosomal RNA". It matches the Rfam family "5.8S ribosomal RNA". From Rfam's summary of the family: 5.8S ribosomal RNA (5.8S rRNA) is a component of the large subunit of the eukaryotic ribosome. It is transcribed by RNA polymerase I as part of the 45S precursor that also contains 18S and 28S rRNA. Lineage: Eukaryota; Viridiplantae; Streptophyta; Magnoliopsida; Apiales; Apiaceae. The record is from RNAcentral.